RNAcentral lists this ribosomal RNA (478 nucleotides) under uncultured bacterium. RNAcentral describes it as "partial 16S ribosomal RNA". It matches the Rfam family "Bacterial small subunit ribosomal RNA", at positions 28 to 523 of the family's 1533-position model. The record is from RNAcentral.
GACGAACGCUGGCGGCGUGCUUAACACAUGCAAGUCGAACGGUAAGGCCCUUCGGGGUACACGAGUGGCGAACGGGUGAGUAACACGUGGGUGAUCUGCCCUGCACUUCGGGAUAAGCCUGGGAAACUGGGUCUAAUACCGGAUAGGACCACUGCCUGCAUGGGUGGUGGUGGAAAGCUUUUGCGGUGUGGGAUGGGCCCGCGGCCUAUCAGCUUGUUGGUGGGGUGAUGGCCUACCAAGGCGACGACGGGUAGCCGGCCUGAGAGGGUGACCGGCCACACUGGGACCGCGAUACGGCCCAGACUCCUACGGGAGGCAGCGAUGGGGAAGAUUGCACAAUGGGCGCAAGGCUGAUGCAGCGCCGCCGCGUGAGGGAUGACGGCCUUCGGGUUGUAAACCUCUUUCAGCACCGACGAAGCGCAAGUGACGGUAGGUGCAGAAGAAGGACCGGCCAACUACGUGCCAGCCGCCGCGGUAA